RNAcentral lists this ribosomal RNA (436 nucleotides) under uncultured bacterium. RNAcentral describes it as "bacterial SSU rRNA". It matches the Rfam family "Bacterial small subunit ribosomal RNA", at positions 27 to 507 of the family's 1533-position model. The record is from RNAcentral.
GAACGAACGCUGGCGGCAGGCCUAAAACAUGCAAGUCGAACGGGUGUAGCAAUACAUCAGUGGCGCACGGGUGAGUAACGCGUGGGAACGUGCCCUUCAGUACGGGACAACGUCGGGAAACUGACGCUAAUACCGUAUAAUGACUCCGGUCCAAAGAUUUAUCGCUGAAGGAGCGGCCCGCGUCUGAUUAGCUAGUUGGUGAGGUAAUGGCUCACCAAGGCUACGAUCAGUAGCAGGUCUGAGAGGAUGAUCUGCCACACUGGGACUGAGACACGGCCCAGACUCCUACGGGAGGCAGCAGUUAGGAAUAUUGGACAAUGGGCGAAAGCCUGAUCCAGCCAUGCCGCGUGUGUGAUGAAGGCCCUAGGGUUGUAAAGCACUUUCGUUGGGGAUGAUAAUGACCGUACCCAAAGAAGAAGCACCGGCUAACUUCGUG